GGGCUAUAGCUCGGGGAGAGCGCUUGCAUGGCAUGCAAGAGGCCGCGGUUCGAUCCCGCUUUUAGCUCCA
RNAcentral lists this transfer RNA (70 nucleotides) under Salmonella enterica subsp. enterica. Its description in RNAcentral is "tRNA-Ala". It matches the Rfam family "tRNA". Rfam says of the family: Transfer RNA (tRNA) molecules are approximately 80 nucleotides in length. The record is from RNAcentral. Lineage: Bacteria; Pseudomonadati; Pseudomonadota; Gammaproteobacteria; Enterobacterales; Enterobacteriaceae.